This 764-nucleotide ribosomal RNA is filed under the name uncultured Leptotrichia sp. RNAcentral's name for it is "bacterial SSU rRNA". It matches the Rfam family "Bacterial small subunit ribosomal RNA", at positions 69 to 851 of the family's 1533-position model. Lineage: Bacteria; Fusobacteriati; Fusobacteriota; Fusobacteriia; Fusobacteriales; Leptotrichiaceae. The record is from RNAcentral.
GGAAGUGGUGCUUGCACCAUGGUAACCAUGGCGGACGGGUGAGUAACGCGUAAGGGACUUACCUGCAGGACUGGGAUAACAGGGGGAAACUCCUGACAAGACCGGAUAAUGUCAUGGAGCUGCAUGGCUCUAUGAUGAAAGGAGACGCCUGCGGAGAGCCUUGCGUCCUAUUAGCUAGUUGGUGAGGUAAUGGCUCACCAAGGCGAAGAUAGGUAGCCGGCCUGAGAGGGUGGACGGCCACAAGGGGACUGAGAUACGGCCCUUACUCCUACGGGAGGCAGCAGUGGGGAAUAUUGGACAAUGGGGGCAACCCUGAUCCAGCAAUUCUGUGUGCACGAAGAAGGUUUUCGGAUUGUAAAGUGCUUUCAGCAGGGAAGAAGUAAGUGACGGUACCUGCAGAAGAAGCGACGGCUAAAUACGUGCCAGCAGCCGCGGUAAUACGUAUGUCGCGAGCGUUAUCCGGAAUUAUUGGGCAUAAAGGGCAUCUAGGCGGCCUGACAAGUCAGGGGUGAAAACCUGCGGCUCAACCGCAGGCCUGCCUUUGAAACUGUGAGGCUGGAGUACCGGAGAGGUGGACGGAACUGCACGAGUAGAGGUGAAAUUCGUAGAUAUGUGCAGGAAUGCCGAUGAUGAAGAUAGUUCACUGGACGGUAACUGACGCUGAAGUGCGAAAGCCGGGGGAGCGAACAGGAUUAGAUACCCUGGUAGUCCCGGCUGUAAACGAUGAUUACUGGGUGUGGGCAGGAAGACUGUCUGUGCCGAAG